CCCAUCUGUCAUGGCAGCUGCAGCAAGCCUCACCCAAGGAGAGUCUGGCUGGAGGCCAAACAACACAAAACCAGCACACUUAACAAAAAUAUAACCAAUGACCCUUGCAGAGUCCACUUAACUCCCCUCCACCAGAGCAGGUGCUGGUAUCCACAGCUGAGAGACCUGAAGAUGGAUCACAUCACAGGACUCCUUGCAGACAUUCUCCAGUACCAGCCCAGAGCCUGGUAGGUCUGUUGGGUGGCUAGACCAGUAUUCUAAGUGAAGUAACUCGGAAAUGGAAAACCAAACAUCAUCUGUUCUCACUCAUCAGUAGGAGCUAAGCUAUGAGAACACAAAGACCUGUCCACGCUGAGUUUAUAGCAACUGUCAAUUACGGUUCAGAUUUUCCUACCCCAGCGUGACUUUCCAAAGAGGCUUCUGCUCAUGGAUUUCUGCUCCAGGAAGAUGCAACAGGAAGGUCCUCACAAGAUGGCUGAACAGAUGCAGGUGCUGUGCCUCUGGACUGCCUAGCCUCCAGAACUGGAAAAUGGUUCAUUGUUUCCAUCAUGUACUCUAUGGAAUACAAAGCUCUGAAACCUGUUGGCUACUGGAAGUGUACAAGAAAAAGACUCUCAAGCUAGAGGUGGGGUAGAGCUGGAGCCAGCCAUGUCAAGAUCUUUCGAGGACAUGAACAUUUUUUAUGCUUAUUAAAAGAUGAUGUGGUUUUAAAAUAAAUCUAAGGCUGGGCGCAGUGGCUCAUGCCUGGAAUCCCAGCAGUUUGGGAGGCUGAGGCGGGUGGAUUGCUUGAGCUCAGUAAUUCAAGACCAGCCUGGGCAACAUGGCAAGAAACUCUCUCUACUAAAAACAGAAAAAUUAA
RNAcentral lists this long non-coding RNA (859 nucleotides) under Homo sapiens (human). RNAcentral describes it as "HSALNT0325135". The record is from RNAcentral. Lineage: Eukaryota; Metazoa; Chordata; Mammalia; Primates; Hominidae.